RNAcentral lists this ribosomal RNA (506 nucleotides) under uncultured bacterium. Its description in RNAcentral is "partial 16S ribosomal RNA". It matches the Rfam family "Bacterial small subunit ribosomal RNA", at positions 29 to 523 of the family's 1533-position model. The record is from RNAcentral.
AGUGAACGCUGGCGGUAGGCCUAACACAUGCAAGUCGAGCGGCAGCACAGAGGAGCUUGCUCCUUGGGUGGCGAGUGGCGGACGGGUGAGGAAUACAUCGGAAUCUACUCUGUCGUGGGGGAUAACGUAGGGAAACUUACGCUAAUACCGCAUACGGCCUACGGGUGAAAGCAGGGGACCUUCGGGCCUUGCGCGAUUGAAUGAGCCGAUGUCGGAUUAGCUAGUUGGCGGGGUAAAGGCCCACCAAGGCGACGAUCCGUAGCUGGUCUGAGAGGAUGAUCAGCCACACUGGAACUGAGACACGGUCCAGACUCCUACGGGAGGCAGCAGUGGGGAAUAUUGGACAAUGGGCGCAAGCCUGAUCCAGCCAUACCGCGUGGGUGAAGAAGGCCUUCGGGUUGUAAAGCCCUUUUGUUGGGAAGGAAAUCCAGCUGGCUAAUACCCGGUUGGGAUGACGGUACCCAAAGAAUAAGCACCGGCUAACUUCGUGCCAGCCGCCGCGGUAA